GGCAUCGACAUCGCGACGCAACAACUGAGCGGCGCGAUGACCAGGAGUACCUGCAAAGUGCGGCGCGAGACCCCCAGCGGGCGUGGCGACCACGAAAUCGCUGGUGUACCCAUCGCAAUGUGCGCUGUCGCAGGCGCCCUUCUUUUCAGCAGCAAGGCCAACGGCAGCAUGGUCGACACGCAGAACACGCCGAUGCCGACGUAAGUAUGGCGCCAGCCGGCGGUUUCGAUGAAAUGCUGAACGAUCGGCGGCCAGAUCGUACCCGCGAGGUAGUUGCCGCUGGCGAAGAUCGCGACCGCGAUGCCGCGACGGCGCGUAAACCACAGAGAAGUGUCGGCGAGCAACGGCGCAAACGUCGCGGAGCUGCCUGCGCCGAUCAGCAGCCCUUGUGCCAGCGUGAACUGCCAGAGACUGCUGGCCGAGCCCGCCAGGACGUAGCCGAGCGCCAGCGCGAUCGUUCCGCCCAUGACCGGAACCAUGAUCCCGAAGCGGUCUGAAAGCCGGCCCAUGAGAAUGCCACUUAGCCCGUAACCGAUCAUGGUGAGCGUGUACGGCAGCGACGCAUCGGCGCGCGCGACGCCGAAUUCCGCCUGCACCGGCGGCAGCGCCACAACCACCGACCACAUACCCACGCCGCCGACGGUGGACAGCAGCAAGGCCAGCACCAGGCGCGUCCAGGCGUACGCGGCCUCGGCCUCGCCGCCGGUCUCCGCACUGUGGUUGUUGUUUGUGCCGGCUGCCCGCCGGCCGGUGCCUGACUGGGUCAUGCGCUCACCGCGAUACGGCCUCCUCUGCCGGCCGCGAUUGUGCCAUGAUGAUCUCUCGGAGUCCUGUCUGGCCCUCCAAAGAACCUUGCGGCUGCGCUAAAUUGACGAUGUCAUUUCGUGGUGCGGAGGCGGGACUGCGCCCGGCUGCGAUGAGCUGAACGUCGGGAUUGUCGGCAAGGGCCCGACAAAUGCGGGCGG
This 965-nucleotide unclassified non-coding RNA is filed under the name uncultured fungus. Its description in RNAcentral is "sequence contains 18S rRNA gene, ITS1, 5.8S rRNA gene, ITS2, 28S rRNA gene". Lineage: Eukaryota; Fungi. The record is from RNAcentral.